UGGGGAAUAUUGGACAAUGGGCGCAAGCCUGAUCCAGCAAUGCCGCGUGUGUGAAGAAGGCCUGCGGGUUGUAAAGCACUUUAAGCAGGAAAGAAAGGUGGGAGGUUAAUACCCUUCUGCUGUGACGUUACCUGCAGAAUAAGCACCGGCUAACUCCGUGCCAGCAGCCGCGGUAAUACGGAGGGUGCGAGCGUUAAUCGGAAUUACUGGGCGUAAAGCGCGCGUAGGCGGUUUGCUAAGUCCGCUGUGAAAGCCCUGGGCUUAACCUGGGAACUGCAGUGGAUACUGGUGAGCUAGAGUAUGGUAGAGGGUAGUGGAAUUUCCGGUGUAGCAGUGAAAUGCGUAGAGAUCGGAAGGAACACCAGUGGCGAAGGCGGCUAUCUGGACCAAUACUGACGCUGAGGUGCGAAAGCGUGGGGAGCAAACA
This 427-nucleotide ribosomal RNA is filed under the name uncultured Methylococcaceae bacterium. RNAcentral describes it as "partial 16S ribosomal RNA". It matches the Rfam family "Bacterial small subunit ribosomal RNA", at positions 355 to 774 of the family's 1533-position model. Lineage: Bacteria; Pseudomonadati; Pseudomonadota; Gammaproteobacteria; Methylococcales; Methylococcaceae. The record is from RNAcentral.